GCCAGGUGUGGAGGCUCACUCCUGUAAUCCCAGUAACCUAGGAGGCUGAGGCAGGAGGAUCACAAAUUUGAGGCCCACCUAGGCAAUCUAAAGAGACCCUCAGCAACUUAGAGAGACUCUAUCUCAA
RNAcentral lists this small RNA (127 nucleotides) under Marmota monax (woodchuck). Lineage: Eukaryota; Metazoa; Chordata; Mammalia; Rodentia; Sciuridae. The record is from RNAcentral.